Small nucleolar RNA from Tachyglossus aculeatus (Australian echidna), 138 nucleotides. Lineage: Eukaryota; Metazoa; Chordata; Mammalia; Monotremata; Tachyglossidae. The record is from RefSeq and is a predicted model, not a curated record.
UCCCUUCCAGGGUCGCACCUGGAGAGUUUCCAGUCCUCUACCGGUCUCGGCUGUGGGAGGGAGAGUCAAGCAGAGGCCUGUCCAUUCCAUUCCUAGCUUGGGCAGUGUUUAGUGAGUGGAAAGCAAUCUGCUACAUGC